This 717-nucleotide ribosomal RNA is filed under the name Orpinomyces cf. joyonii. RNAcentral's name for it is "LSU rRNA". It matches the Rfam family "Eukaryotic large subunit ribosomal RNA", at positions 82 to 649 of the family's 3401-position model. Lineage: Eukaryota; Fungi; Neocallimastigomycota; Neocallimastigomycetes; Neocallimastigales; Neocallimastigaceae. The record is from RNAcentral.
AGUACGGCGAGUGAAGCGGGAAGAGCUCAAAUUUGAAAUCUUCAAGGUUCUACCUUGACGAAUUGUAGUUUAUAGAAGUGUUUUCUGUUAGUGGAGUGGCAAAAGUUCUUUGGAAUAGGACAUCAUAGAGGGUGAGAAUCCCGUAUUUGGUCAUUCCUCCUAGCGUUGUGAUACACUUUCAACGAGUCGGAUUGUUUGGGAAUGCAGUCCAAAAUGGGUGGUAAAUUUCAUCUAAAGCUAAAUAUUGGCGAGAGACCGAUAGCGAACAAGUACCGUGAGGGAAAGAUGAAAAGAACUUUGAAAAGAGAGUUAAACAGUACGUGAAAUUGUCAAAAGGGAAGCGUUUGACACCAGUGUUGUUUUUCCGAAAAUCAAUUACGAAUGUUUUAUUUUUGAGGAGUUAUGACUUCAUCGGCUUGCUCCUUUCUUUAUGAAACUUUCUUAAUGCACUUUUCGGUUAACAAGUCAACAUCAAUUUCUUUUGUUGUAAAAGGGUAUGAGGAAGGUGGCUUUCUUUUCGGAGAAAGUGUUUAUAGCCUUGUGCCUCUGCAAUCGGAGAGAUUGAGGUCUGCAGCGUAGAUCCUUCGGGGUUAGAUACGUUUGUGCUAAGUUAUAGCUUUUCAUAGACAACUUGUUGACUAUGUUUAGUCUUGUAGCUUACUCGCUGACGCUAUUUUACCUACGCUUAGGAUGUUGACAAAAUGGUUUUAAACGACC